CUCGACAAUGGUUAUAUACGCAAAUCCCUUAGUCCUUGUGCUGUUCCUAUUAUUCUAGUGCCGAAAAAGGAUGGUACAUCACGUAUGUGUGAUGAUUGUAGAGGCAUUAAUAAUAUUACUAUUCGUUAUCGUCAUCCUAUUCCUAGGCUCGAUGAUAUGCUUGAUGAAUUGAGUGGCUCUACAAUAUUCUCCAAAGUUGAUUUGCGUAGUGGAUACCAUCAAAUUCGUAUGAAAUUGGGAGAUGAAUGGAAAACAGCAUUUAAAACUAAGUUUGGAUUAUAUGAGUGGUUAGUCAUGCCUUUGGGGUUAACUAAUGCACCUAGU
RNAcentral lists this ribosomal RNA (324 nucleotides) under Triticum aestivum (bread wheat). Its description in RNAcentral is "partial small subunit ribosomal RNA". Lineage: Eukaryota; Viridiplantae; Streptophyta; Magnoliopsida; Poales; Poaceae. The record is from RNAcentral.